UACUGAUAUAACCCCAGCGACUGCAUCACCGAUUUAUGGCACAACUUGAAAGUGCUGGUAAACUUUUCAUUUCUAGGUUAGGUGAGAGAAGAAAGUGGAUCCUACGUGUUUGGUGUAGGUGUGUGCUGUAGGUGUGUGGCUGAACUGAAGUUAAAGGCAGGAACUGAAGUAGAAGAAGGGCCACCCAUUAGAAUCUGCCCGUCGACGAUAUCGAUGAUCCCAGGCCACAACAGCCCAUAAUUUUCACGAUCUUGAGAGUUUCCAAAAAGCUCAGCUGCUCAAUAAGCUACGACAGACAUGGAUAGCUGAAAAGAAUUCAGCAACUAAUGGUGAAGAACGCGAGCCACCAGCUCAGACGAGACGAAGAUGUGAGUUUGUUUUGAACAACAAAUUCCCGUUGUGGAACGAACACAGUCAAGUUUAUCAGUUGGACUUUGGAGGGAGAGUGACCCAAGACUCUGCGAAAAAUUUUCAGAUUGAAUUCAAAGGAAAACAGGUUAUGCAGUUUAGCAGAAUCGAUGGGAAUGCCUACACGUUAGAUUUUCAGUAUCCUUUCUCAGCUGUCCAGGCUUUUGCUGUGGCAUUGGUGAUUCAACGAUUGAAAUAAAAAUGGAAUUUGGAUAAAUCUGUCCAGAGAUGGUCAAUGUGACAUUAAA
This is a long non-coding RNA of Daphnia carinata, 656 nucleotides long. RefSeq lists it as uncharacterized. The transcript has 3 exons. The record is from RefSeq and is a predicted model, not a curated record. NCBI's taxonomy places the organism in Eukaryota, Metazoa, Arthropoda, Branchiopoda, Diplostraca, Daphniidae.